Molecule: transfer RNA, 65 nt
Filed under: Gnathotrichus materiarius
Lineage: Eukaryota; Metazoa; Arthropoda; Insecta; Coleoptera; Curculionidae
Description: tRNA-Leu
Source: RNAcentral
UCUAAUAUGGCAGAAAAGUGCACUGAACUUAAGCUUCAACCAUAAAGUAAAAUCUUUUUUUAGAA